RNAcentral lists this ribosomal RNA (301 nucleotides) under uncultured bacterium. Its description in RNAcentral is "partial 16S ribosomal RNA". It matches the Rfam family "Bacterial small subunit ribosomal RNA", at positions 509 to 807 of the family's 1533-position model. The record is from RNAcentral.
CAGCAGCCGCGGUAAUACGAAGGGGGCUAGCGUUGCUCGGAAUUACUGGGCGUAAAGGGAGCGUAGGCGGACAUUUAAGUCAGGGGUGAAAUCCCAGAGCUCAACUCUGGAACUGCCUUUGAUACUGGGUGUCUUGAGUGUGAUAGAGGUAUGUGGAACUCCGAGUGUAGAGGUGAAAUUCGUAGAUAUUCGGAAGAACACCAGUGGCGAAGGCGACAUACUGGAUCAUUACUGACGCUGAGGCUCGAAAGCGUGGGGAGCAAACAGGAUUAGAUACCCCCGUAGUCCCUGUCUCUUAUAC